Long non-coding RNA from Ostrea edulis (European flat oyster), 257 nucleotides. RefSeq lists it as uncharacterized. Lineage: Eukaryota; Metazoa; Mollusca; Bivalvia; Ostreida; Ostreidae. The transcript is spliced from 2 exons. The record is from RefSeq and is a predicted model, not a curated record.
GUAAGUUGAAAAGAGCAUGCUGCAUCUUUGAUGUAAAAUAUCUCGAAAAGGAAUCAAGGACCCUAUUGCAAAUUUGGCCUUGUUGGAAAGGAUGGCAGGUGCCUGAGUGUAUCUCGACCCAUUUCCAGGCUAGCAUCAGAUGUCAUGAUGGACCUUUAAAAUCUUUCACAUGUGUACUUUCAAGAACCAUAUACAUUAUUUUUGAAAAUUGGUUGCCAUGGUAAUAAAAUCUGAAAAUUAAAACAUGGGCUUCUGAA